RNAcentral lists this ribosomal RNA (253 nucleotides) under uncultured bacterium. Its description in RNAcentral is "partial 16S ribosomal RNA". It matches the Rfam family "Bacterial small subunit ribosomal RNA", at positions 524 to 776 of the family's 1533-position model. The record is from RNAcentral.
UACGAGGGGGGCAAGCGUUGUUCGGAAUUAUUGGGCGUAAAGGGCGCGUAGGCGGUGCGGUAAGUCACCUGUGAAACCUCUAGGCUCAACCUAGAGCCUGCAGGCGAAACUGCCGUGCUUGAGGGUGGGAGAGGUGCGUGGAAUUCCUGGUGUAGCGGUGAAAUGCGCAGAUAUCAGGAAGAACACCUAUGGCGAAAGCAGCUCUCUGGGACGGUACUGACGCUGAGACGCGAAAGCGUGGGGAGCGAACAGG